GGCCAACUGAUUGAUGGUGCUUGCACCUGUAGUGACGAUGGAUCACCAGUGAGGGCGGACGGUGAGUAACACGUAGGUACCUGCCCCGGAGCGGGGGAAUACAUUUGGAAAACAGAUGCUAAUACCGCAUAACACAAAAGCCACAUGGCUUUUUGUUUGAAAAGAUGGCUUUUGGCUAUCACUCUGGGAUGGACCUGCGGUGCAUUAGCUAGUUGGUAAGGUAACGGCUUACCAAGGCGAUGAUGCAUAGCCGAGUUGAGAGACUGAUCGGCCACAAUGGAACUGAGACACGGUCCAUACUCCUACGGGAGGCAGCAGUAGGGAAUCUUCCACAAUGGGGCGCAAGCCUGAUGGAGCAACACCGCGUGAGUGAAGAAGGGUUUCGGCUCGUAAAGCUCUGUUGUUGGAGAAGAACGUGCGUGAGAGUAACUGUUCACGCAGUGACGGUAUCCAACCAGAAAGUCACGGCUAACUACGUGCC
RNAcentral lists this ribosomal RNA (481 nucleotides) under uncultured bacterium. Its description in RNAcentral is "bacterial SSU rRNA". It matches the Rfam family "Bacterial small subunit ribosomal RNA", at positions 60 to 509 of the family's 1533-position model. The record is from RNAcentral.